This 550-nucleotide ribosomal RNA is filed under the name uncultured bacterium. Its description in RNAcentral is "bacterial SSU rRNA". It matches the Rfam family "Bacterial small subunit ribosomal RNA", at positions 355 to 896 of the family's 1533-position model. The record is from RNAcentral.
UAGGGAAUCUUCCACAAUGGACGCAAGUCUGAUGGAGCAACGCCGCGUGAGUGAAGAAGGGUUUCGGCUCGUAAAGCUCUGUUGGUAGUGAAGAAAGAUAGAGGUAGUAACUGGCCUUUAUUUGACGGUAAUUACUUAGAAAGUCACGGCUAACUACGUGCCAGCAGCCGCGGUAAUACGUAGGUGGCAAGCGUUGUCCGGAUUUAUUGGGCGUAAAGCGAGUGCAGGCGGUUCAAUAAGUCUGAUGUGAAAGCCUUCGGCUCAACCGGAGAAUUGCAUCAGAAACUGUUGAACUUGAGUGCAGAAGAGGAGAGUGGAACUCCAUGCGUAGCGGUGGAAUGCGUAGAUAUAUGGAAGAACACCAGUGGCGAAGGCGGCUCUCUGGUCUGCAACUGACGCUGAGGCUCGAAAGCAUGGGUAGCGAACAGGAUUAGAUACCCUGGUAGUCCAUGCCGUAAACGAUGAGUGCUAAGUGUUGGGAGGUUUCCGCCUCUCAGUGCUGCAGCUAACGCAUUAAGCACUCCGCCUGGGGAGUACGACCGCAAGGUUG